CAUGCAAGUCGAACGCCCCGCAAGGGGAGUGGCAGACGGGUGAGUAACGCGUGGGAAUCUACCCAAUUCUUCGGAACAACACAUGGAAACGUGUGCUAAUACCGAAUGAGCCCUUCGGGGGAAAGAUUUAUCGGAAUUGGAUGAGCCCGCGUUGGAUUAGCUAGUUGGUGGGGUAAAGGCCUACCAAGGCGACGAUCCAUAGCUGGUCUGAGAGGAUGAUCAGCCACACUGGGACUGAGACACGGCCCAGACUCCUACGGGAGGCAGCAGUGGGGAAUAUUGGACAAUGGGCGCAAGCCUGAUCCAGCCAUGCCGCGUGAGUGAUGAAGGUCUUAGGAUUGUAAAGCUCUUUCACCGGUGAAGAUAAUGACGGUAACCGGAGAAGAAGCCCCGGCUAACUUCGUGCCAGCAGCCGCGGUAAUACGAAGGGGGCUAGCGUUGUUCGGAUUUACUGGGCGUAAAGCGCACGUAGGCGGACUUUUAAGUCAGGGGUGAAAUCCCGGGGCUCAACCCCGGAACUGCCUUUGAUACUGGAAGUCUUGAGUUCGAGAGAGGUGAGUGGAAUUGCGAGUGUAGAGGUGAAAUUCGUAGAUAUUCGCAGGAACACCAGUGGCGAAGGCGGCUCACUGGCUCGAUACUGACGCUGA
Molecule: ribosomal RNA, 647 nt
Filed under: uncultured bacterium
Lineage: Bacteria
Description: bacterial SSU rRNA
Rfam family: Bacterial small subunit ribosomal RNA
Source: RNAcentral